RNAcentral lists this ribosomal RNA (1512 nucleotides) under Ichthybothrium sp. n. PBI_427. RNAcentral's name for it is "partial 28S ribosomal RNA". It matches the Rfam family "Eukaryotic large subunit ribosomal RNA", at positions 23 to 982 of the family's 3401-position model. Lineage: Eukaryota; Metazoa; Platyhelminthes; Cestoda; Bothriocephalidea; Bothriocephalidae. The record is from RNAcentral.
ACCCGCUGAAUUUAAGCAUAUCAAUAAGCGGAGGAAAAGAAACUAACAAGGAUUCCCCUAGUAACGGCGAGUGAAGAGGGAGAAGCCCAGCACCGAAGCCUGCGGCAGGUUUGCUGUUAGGCAAUGUGGUGUUUAGGUCGGCUCGCGGGACUGCCGCUCCAUUCUAAGUCCAGCUUUGAGUAUGGCUUCUGGACUUGGCCCAGAGAGGGUGAGAGGCCCGUCCGAAUGGAGGAUAAGAGAAGUGGGCAGUUCACUAGGCCGGCCUUCGAGUCGGGUUGUUUGAGAAUGCAGCCCAAAGUGGGUGGUAGACUCCAUCCAAGGCUAAAUACUGGCACGAGUCCGAUAGCGAACAAGUACCGUGAGGGAAAGUUGAAAAGUACUUUGAAGAGAGAGUAAACAGUACGUGAAACCGCAUAGAGGUAAACGGGUGGCGUCAAGCUGCACGCCUGGAGGAUUCAGUCGGUCAGGAUGUUGUGUGUGCGCCUGGCGCAUCUAUCAGUCGGAGUGAGACAGGGUGGUCUGCUGGAUGACAGCGGGCCCGGCCGCAAGGCUGGGAUUGGUAUUCCGUGUUGUGUGCGGAGCUUGCCACCUGUCUGGGGACUGUCUGGCCGAUGCACUUUCUCUGUGUGGCGAACACCACGACCGGUGGUACUGCCAGUCUGCUGUGGUGAAGUCAGGUUUGGUCGGCAUUUGCGUGUCGGCUGGGCCUGAUCAUAGGCAGGCGGUGUGCGGGCGCGCAGAAAUGCGUGCUUGUAGGCCGGUCUGUCAACGGGUCUGUUUGCCGACGAUUGUAGUAGUUGGCAGACGGCCUGGUGUACCAUGGUGGUAGGAAUAACUGUGCAGGGCACCGGUGAUGUCGGUCUCGAAUUUGGCUCGCGCACACACUACAAGUGGUUGUGUGGGGCGUCGUUGCGGUCUGCCUGUGAUCGGGUGUGGCUGUCGUGUUGCCUGCGUAAAGCGGGUCCGGCGGUGGCCUGGUCUUGGAUGGUAUCGCUAGCGGCGUCUCCAGUGCGGGCCGAUGUGGGCCUAACAGUCGGUGGUGUAGUGGUAGACGAGCUACCCGACCCGUCUUGAAACACGGACCAAGGAGUUCAACAUGUGCGCAAGUCACUGGGCGUUACGAAACCCAAGGGCGCAAUGAACGUGAAGCCUCGGCUCGACUGAGGUGUGGUGAGAUCCUGCUGUUACUCGCUCGCAUCAGCACUUGUGCUGCAGGCACAGCCAGCACCAGGCUAAGAGCAGCAGGCGCAUCACCGGCCCGUCUCAUGAUGUCGCUGUUGGCCGGCUGCUUUCGGGCAGUCGCCAGCGUGUCUUCGGGGCGGAGCAUGAGCGCACACGUUGAGACCCGAAAGAUGGUGAACUAUGCUUGCGUAGGUUGAAGCCAGAGGAAACUCUGGUGGAGGACCGCAGCGAUUCUGACGUGCAAAUCGAUCGUCAAACGUGAGCAUAGGGGCGAAAGACUAAUCGAACCAUCUAGUAGCUGGUUCCCUCCGAAGUUUCCCUCAGGAUAGC